CCCUUAGAUGUCCGGGGCUGCACGCGCGCUACACUGAAGGAAUCAGCGUGCUAGAAAACCUUGUUUGACAUGGCUAGGUAACCCGUUGAAAAUCUUUCGUGAUUGGGAUCGGGACUUGCAAAUGUGUCCCUUGAACGAGGAAUUCCCAGUAAGAGCGGGUCAUAAGCUCGCGCUGAUUACGUCCCUGCCCUUUGUACACACCGCCCGUCGCUGCCCGGAACUGAGCCGUUUCGAGAAGACUGGGGACUGCGAACUUUGGGCUGGAAAACAGCUUUUUGUUUGUGGAAACCACUUUAAUCGCAGCGGCUUGAACCGGGCAAAAGUCGUAACA
RNAcentral lists this ribosomal RNA (331 nucleotides) under uncultured eukaryote. RNAcentral's name for it is "partial 18S ribosomal RNA". It matches the Rfam family "Eukaryotic small subunit ribosomal RNA", at positions 1470 to 1796 of the family's 1831-position model. The record is from RNAcentral.